AUUGAACGCUGGCGGCAGGCCUAACACAUGCAAGUCGAGCGGAUGAAGGGAGCUUGCUCCUGGAUUCAGCGGCGGACGGGCGAGUAAUGCCUAGGAAUCUGCCUGGUAGUGGGGGAUAACGUCCGGAAACGGGCGCUAAUACCGCAUACGUCCUGAGGGAGAAAGUGGGGGAUCUUCGGACCUCACGCUAUCAGAUGAGCCUAGGUCGGAUUAGCUAGUUGGUGGGGUAAAGGCCUACCAAGGCGACGAUCCGUAACUGGUCUGAGAGGAUGAUCAGUCACACUGGAACUGAGACACGGUCCAGACUACUACGGGAGGCAGCAGUGGGGAAUAUUGGACAAUGGGCGAAAGGCUGACCCGGCCAUGCCGCGUGUGUGAAGAAGGUCUUCGGAUUUUAAAGCACUUUAAGUUGGGAGGAAGGGCAGUAAGUUAAUACCUUGCUGUUUUGACGUUACCAAAAGAAUAAGCACCGGCUAACUUCGUG
Molecule: ribosomal RNA, 484 nt
Filed under: uncultured bacterium
Lineage: Bacteria
Description: partial 16S ribosomal RNA
Rfam family: Bacterial small subunit ribosomal RNA
Source: RNAcentral